AUUGAACGCUGGCGGCAUGCCUCACACAUGCAAGUCGAACGGCAGCACGGGAGCAAUCCUGGUGGCGAGUGGCGAACGGGUGAGUAAAGUAUCGGAACGUGCCCAGUCGUGGGGGAUAACGUAGCGAAAGUUACGCUAAUACCGCAUACGAUCUAUGGAUGAAAGCGGGGGAUCGUAAGCCCUCGCGCGAUUGGAGCGGCCGAUAUCAGAUUAGGUAGUUGGUGGGGUAAAGGCUCGCCAAGCCGACGAUCUGUAGCUGGUCUGAGAGGACGACCAGCCACACUGGGACUGAGACACGGCCCAGACUCCUACGGGAGGCAGCAGUGGGGAAUUUUGGACAAUGGGCGAAAGCCUGAUCCAGCCAUGCCGCGUGCAGGAUGAAGGCCUUCGGGUUGUAAACUGCUUUUGUACGGAACGAAAAGGUUUGGGCUAAUAAGCUGAGCUCAUGACGGUACCGUAAGAAUAAGCACCGGCUAACUACGUGCCAGCAGCCGCAGUAA
Molecule: ribosomal RNA, 500 nt
Filed under: uncultured bacterium
Lineage: Bacteria
Description: partial 16S ribosomal RNA
Rfam family: Bacterial small subunit ribosomal RNA
Source: RNAcentral